AAUUGGAGGGCAAGUCUGGUGCCAGCAGCCGCGGUAAUUCCAGCUCCAAUAGCGUAUAUUAAAGUUGUUGCAGUUAAAAAGCUCGUAGUUGAAUUUCGGGAUCAGCAGGUUGGUCGUGCCACUGGUAUGUACUGGCCUUGCUGAUUCCUCCCUCUUGAUGAGCCGUAAUGCCAUUAAUUUGGUGUUGCGGGGAAUCAGGACUGUUACUUUGAAAAAAUUAGAGUGUUUAAAGCAGGCAUGCGCUUGAAUACAUUAGCAUGGAAUAAUGAAAUAGGACGUUUGAUCCUAUUUUGUUGGUUUCUAGGAUUGACGUAAUGAUUAAUAGGGAUAGUUGGGGGCAUUAGUAUUCAAUUGUCAGAGGUGAAAUUCUUGGAUUUAUUGAAGACUAACUACUGCGAAAGCAUUUGCCAAGGAUGUUUUCAUUAAUCAAGAACGAAAGUUAGGGGAUCGAAGACGAUCAGAUACCGUCGUAGUCUUAACCAUAAACUAUGCCGACUAGGGAUCGGAUGAUGUUAAUUUUUUAAUGACUCAUUCGGCGCCUUACGGGAAACCAAAGUGU
Molecule: ribosomal RNA, 559 nt
Filed under: uncultured Glomus
Lineage: Eukaryota; Fungi; Glomeromycota; Glomeromycetes; Glomerales; Glomeraceae
Description: SSU rRNA
Rfam family: Eukaryotic small subunit ribosomal RNA
Source: RNAcentral